UACGGAGGGGGCUAGCGUUGUUCGGAAUUACUGGGCGUAAAGCGCACGUAGGCGGAUAUUUAAGUCAGAGGUGAAAUCCCGGGGCUCAACCCCGGAACUGCCUUUGAUACUGGGUAUCUCGAGUCCGAGAGAGGUGAGUGGAAUUCCGAGUGUAGAGGUGAAAUUCGUAGAUAUUCGGAGGAACACCAGUGGCGAAGGCGGCUCACUGGCUCGGUACUGACGCUGAGGUGCGAAAGCGUGGGGAGCAAACAGG
RNAcentral lists this ribosomal RNA (253 nucleotides) under uncultured bacterium. RNAcentral's name for it is "partial 16S ribosomal RNA". It matches the Rfam family "Bacterial small subunit ribosomal RNA", at positions 524 to 776 of the family's 1533-position model. The record is from RNAcentral.